Protopterus annectens (West African lungfish) is the source of this 270-nucleotide long non-coding RNA. RefSeq lists it as uncharacterized. Lineage: Eukaryota; Metazoa; Chordata; Ceratodontiformes; Protopteridae. The record is from RefSeq and is a predicted model, not a curated record. The transcript is spliced from 3 exons.
GUUAACAGACUUUUCCACCACGGGUCUGCCAGGUAAGAAAAGGUGCCAUGCAGUGCCAACCCAGCUAUACCAUUAAAGAGACAGUGCCCAUAACCGAGGCCAUAAUCCAGUACUGUGGCAUCCUUUUCAGCCGUGGCUGCCAAAAUCAGAGGGAGCGGACUGCCAUGUGGGACAAUACUGUCCAGAGAGUGAACAUCGUGGGCCACCAUGGACACACAUGAUCAGGUUCCUCUGGUCUACACAUGGUACAGCAGCCUGAAGCCGGUAAGU